AUUUAAUUCAGUUCAACUCAAAGGCUGAGGAAUAAAAGAAGGAAAAGAAUAUCUGUGCAAGGCAAAUAAUUUGGAAAUGGAUUAACCUGCCCAUUUUUCAUGUAAGAGUUUAGUACAGAAAUAUUCUGCUUUCCUUUUUUGCUUUUUUCCGAUAAAUGCUAUGAGUCACCCCCUUUGUCUGUAGAAACUAACAUGGUAGUUGUCUUACUUAAAAUCACAAGCCAUCUGUGGUAAAGAGUGCCUGGGUUUGACUCCCAUCUCAGCCGCUUCCUAGCCAUGUGGCCCCAGGUAAGUCACUCAGCCCAAUCCCACAGGGAGCUCUGCAGCCUAAAUUACACCUUAGGUUUUUCCUGCAUUGAGAUAAGUUUGCUGGCUUUUCAAACUCUCCCACCAGUUGACCAUUGGCUAAGGGCCAGGAAAUGAAGGAGAGAAGAGAGGAUGCGAAAGUCCAGGCACUUUCAGUGAUCUGCACAUGUAACAAAGUGGUGCUGCCUGUGUUAGCCACUAAAGCAUCAAGCACUGGGGAACGUGGGGCACACAGGACUGGCCAACCAGGUCUGAGGGUUCUGGCCAGAGCACAGGCAGGGUCCUGUGCAGUGUGGGAAUCUUUUCCCUCUUUAUCCUAUGCUGUAGGAAUGACUGCCUGGCAGGACUGCUCAGGGUAGAUCCUCAGUGCUCUAGAGCUGUGAUUCCUGCCAUUCUGGAGGGCAAUUGGGAUCCUUUUCUCCCAGCCUCCUCUUUCUGCCUUGAUGAGCGGAACUUUGCUCUUGGAGCCUGGUGCUGAGACACGGAAUAUACAAGGAAGCGUAAGGCAAAGUCUCUGCGGUUUACAGAGCUCACUGUCUUGUGAGGGAGGCAGCCAUGUAUACAAUUGGCUAAAAUAAUUCCUAAAGACUGACACUAGGGCUAUGAAGAGGUAAAAACACAGUGCUGUGGGAACACAAGAGAAGGAGCAGAGAAUUCAAAUGGGGGCUUUGAGGGAAAACUUCAUGGCAGUGGUGCCAUUUCAGCUAAGCCUUGAAGGAUAAAUAUCAGUAAGAUUUGGAGAUGGGAAAGAAAGGGAGGGCACUGUGGAUUGAGGGAGCAGCAUGAGCAAAUACUGUGAGAAAUGAGGCAGGUAGUUUGCUUGGAGCAAUGAAUAUUCCACUGACUACCCAGGAUACCUUAGUGGGACGUGAGUCAGGAGAAGCAGGACCUGGAUGCUGUGGAAGCUUUCAUGGAGGGACAGUGCUGUCAACAAUGACCAGGUUUUAUAGCAUGGUGCUCUUAACACUGUGGCUUCGUUAUGCUACAUCAAAGAUGUGUUUUGAUAAACUGUCCUCAUAAAGGAUGUAACAGGAGUUUCCAAUAGAAAUAACAUUCCAAACUGAAGUGUAAAACUAGGAUUUACAAAGCAGGUGACUGAAAACUUAAAACCCUGAAGCUUUCAUCCAUGUUGAGGAUAUAGAAGAGCUGAGGAGAGGAGUACUUUUGAAGAUGAAUUUUGGGAGAGCGUUUUUGGGGAGAGUGGGUUCCAACCCAAGGGAAUCCCCAAAAUUAGUAGUCUCCCAUUCUCUUCAGAUAAAGAGACAGGGGCUUCUAGCACACCAAUUGGAGUUGUGUGUCCCUUUGAGCUGGACUUGUGUCUGACAUCGUCUGGAAAGUCCAAAAGGUGAGAGAUGGACUGGCUAGUUGCUCUGACCUGAGGAGUGAAGGAGAGAUUGCUGUGUGAUGGGAUUGACCAGCACUUCCAGAGUUGCUGGGGCAGGUAACAGCAAAAGAUGGCUGGCGUGGGGUCUCCUUAAGUCCUGUCUGAAAUGGCCUCGAGGGAGACCCCCUCAGACUUCAGCAGAGGGAAGCUUGAGGUACAACUGGAUUUCUUAGGGCUAAAGAAGAAAUAAGCCACAGCUGGAAUAGAAAAGCAUUCUGCUGGUGGCAGAUCCAUCGUUAUGGAGCAUCUCCAGAGAACCCAGAAAAUGGCCCACGAGAGAUUUAUUUUUAGACAUCUGCCAGGCCUGGAGAGUGGCAAUGCUCAAUUAUCACAGUAGUAUCAGUCAAGUAAGAACAUAUCUGCCCUAUUUCCUUCACGUCUUCCAUGACUUCUAAUACAGAGGGGUCAGAAAGCACAUUAGGCAAGCUGAGGAAGGAGGGAUAAAAGUAUCGGGCCAUGGAAGAGGGAAGAAAUUUCCUUUCACCCAUUUCCUGAUCUGAGGCUUCUUGAGUACACUAGGCCCUAGCUUGGGGUAGGAGUGAGAGGUGAGGGAAGAAGUGUUAACCCUAUAGCAAGACUGAAGUUUACACGGGAUUGGAUAUUUUAAAUAAUAGAUUGGGAAUACUCGUAUUUCUUAAAGGUUAUCAGAAAAGUCAUGAGACUGCCCAAAUUUUCAUCCAAGGGCAUCCACCAAUUAAGCCCCACUGAAUAAGUCAUUGUAUGGCUGAACCCCAUGAGUUAUGCUUGUUUAAUGUAGUGGUGACACUACUAAUUCUUCUUAAAAUUGUUUCCAUGGGAAAAACUCAUUCAGUUCCCAAAAGAUGGAAUACUGCACAUCGACACUUGCUUAUUUGCCCAUGUUGGGUAAUUGUGUGAUGGUUAUAAGCGUGCCAGCCAAUGAAUUAAUGAUUCUGAUUUAAGGGCCAAAUAAGUGACUUCCAGGCUCUUAAGAUGACACCUAAUCUAGAGUGAAAUGAGACACUGUCUUCAAUUGAUCUGCUUAAAGUUGUCCCAGCAUCAGAUACAUGAGAUCUUGCCACCAGGACCCGGGCCCUCACUUCUCUGCCUCCAUGCUGAGCUACAGCCCCUCCAUGACGUUCACCAGCUCCCACCAUGCCCCUUAACCAGGCACUCAUCCCACCAGUUCCCAAUCAAAGCCAAGGAAAUUACUUUUUCCCCAGUGGGGUUCUGCUAGGCCUUCAGGACUUGAAUAAAAGGCAACACAGAUGCUAAUGCUCACAGACUGACUGCAUUGUCUGAGCUCUUCUAAGAACUAUAUGCCAAGCUUUUAAAGAAGCUGUGCAUCCUCUUCAAUCCUGCUUAAGUGUUUUGUGGAGAAAAAUUUUCUUUUAAAACAAGGUCAGUAAACUUUGGCCCAUGGGCCAAAUCCAGGCCUCUGCCUGUUUUGUUUUGUUUUUUUAAAUGCAACGUGAAUGUUUAUUUAGUUUACAGUCCUUACAUGUCAUUAAGCCAAACAGCAGAACUUUGUGUUAUGGAAAGAAGGUAUGGAGGGACCCCAUUCGAUGUAUCCCUCGUAGAGGAAGGUGUUAUAUAUUAUUGAGGUCUUUUUUUUCCUUGCCUUUUAUUUUAUAUAUACAUAUUUAUAUAUUUUUUAAAUUUGAGUUCAUAAUAGUUUACAUCAUUAUGAGAUUUCAGUUGUACAUUAUUUAUCGUCUGUGGCCACAUAAGUGCUCCCCUUCACCUCCUGUGCCCACCUCCACCCCCCUUCCCCUGGUAACCACUGAACUGUUUUCUUUGUCCAUGUGUUUGUUCAUAUUCCAUAUAUGAGUGAAAUCAUCUGGUGUUUGUCUUUCUCAGUCUGACUUAUUUCACUUGGCAUAAUUCCCUCCAGGUCCAUCCAUGUUGUUGCAAAUGGGAUGAAUUUGUCUUUUUUCUGGCUGAGUAGUAUUCCAUUGUAUAUAUACACCACAUCCUCUUCAUCCAAUCAUCAGUCAAUGGGCACUUGGGUAGUUUCCAUGUCUUGGCUAUUGUGAAUAGUGCUGCAAUGAACAUAGGGGUGCAUAUGUUACUUUGGAUUGUUGAUUUCAAGUUGUUUGGGUAGAUACCUAGUAGUGGGAUAGCUGGGUCAUAUGGUAGUUCUCUCUUUGGUUUUUUGAGGAAUCUCCAUACUGUUUUCCAUAGUGGCUCACCAGUUUGCACUCCCACCAGGCCUCUGCCUGUUUUUCUGUAGCCUGUGAGCUAGUAAUGGUUAUCACAUUUUUAAAUGUUUGGG
This 3923-nucleotide long non-coding RNA is filed under the name Equus caballus (horse). Its description in RNAcentral is "lncRNA (ENSECAG00000058697.1)". Lineage: Eukaryota; Metazoa; Chordata; Mammalia; Perissodactyla; Equidae. The record is from RNAcentral.